CAGCAGCCGCGGGAACACAGAGGGUGCGAGCGUUAAUCGGAUUUACUGGGCGUAAAGCGUGCGUAGGCGGCUUCUUAAGUCGGAUGUGAAAUCCCUGAGCUUAACUUAGGAAUUGCAUUCGAUACUGGGAAGCUAGAGUAUGGGAGAGGAUGGUAGAAUUCCAGGUGUAGCGGUGAAAUGCGUAGAGAUCUGGAGGAAUACCGAUGGCGAAGGCAGACAUCUGGCCUAAUACUGACGCUGAGGUACGAAAGCAUGGGGAGCAAACAGGAUUAGAUACCCCCGUAGUCCCUGUCUCUUAUAC
RNAcentral lists this ribosomal RNA (301 nucleotides) under uncultured bacterium. RNAcentral's name for it is "partial 16S ribosomal RNA". It matches the Rfam family "Bacterial small subunit ribosomal RNA", at positions 509 to 807 of the family's 1533-position model. The record is from RNAcentral.